AAAAAGAUGUAGUCCUCCACUA
This 22-nucleotide microRNA is filed under the name Ananas comosus (pineapple). RNAcentral describes it as "microRNA s0029_c027". Lineage: Eukaryota; Viridiplantae; Streptophyta; Magnoliopsida; Poales; Bromeliaceae. The record is from RNAcentral.